CAGAACAUGGGUGAUAAGGUCCGUGUUCGAAAGGGAAACAGCCCAGACCACCAGCUAAGGUCCCAAAAUAUAUGUUAAGUGGAAAAGGAUGUGGCGUUGCCCAGACAACUAGGAUGUUGGCUUAGAAGCAGCCAUCAUUUAAAGAGUGCGUAAUAGCUCACUAGUCGAGUGACACUGCGCCGAAAAUGUACCGGGGCUAAACAUAUUACCGAAGCUGUGGAUUGUCCUUUGGACAAUGGUAGGAGAGCGUUCUAAGGGCGUUGAAGCAUGAUCGUAAGGACAUGUGGAGCGCUUAGAAGUGAGAAUGCCGGUGUGAGUAGCGAAAGACGGGUGAGAAUCCCGUCCACCGAUUGACUAAGGUUUCCAGAGGAAGGCUCGUCCGCUCUGGGUUAGUCGGGUCCUAAGCUGAGGCCGACAGGCGUAGGCGAUGGAUAACAGGUUGAUAUUCCUGUACCACCUAUAAUCGUUUUA
Molecule: ribosomal RNA, 471 nt
Filed under: Staphylococcus aureus
Lineage: Bacteria; Bacillati; Bacillota; Bacilli; Caryophanales; Staphylococcaceae
Description: partial 23S ribosomal RNA
Rfam family: Bacterial large subunit ribosomal RNA
Source: RNAcentral